GACGAACGCUGGCGGCGUGCUUAACACAUGCAAGUCGAACGGAAAGGCCCUGCUUUUGUGGGGUGCUCGAGUGGCGAACGGGUGAGUAACACGUGAGUAACCUGCCCUUGACUUUGGGAUAACUUCAGGAAACUGGGGCUAAUACCGGAUAGGAGCUCCUGCUGCAUGGUGGGGGUUGGAAAGUUUCGGCGGUUGGGGAUGGACUCGCGGCUUAUCAGCUUGUUGGUGGGGUAGUGGCUUACCAAGGCUUUGACGGGCAGCCGGCCUGAGAGGGUGACCGGCCACAUUGGGACUGAGAUACGGCCCAGACUCCUACGGGAGGCAGCAGUGGGGAAUAUUGCACAAUGGGCGGAAGCCUGAUGCAGCAACGCCGCGUGCGGGAUGACGGCCUUCGGGUUGUAAACCGCUUUCGCCUGUGACGAAGCGAGAGUGACGGUAAUGGGUAAAGAAGCACCGGCUAACUACGUG
RNAcentral lists this ribosomal RNA (468 nucleotides) under uncultured bacterium. RNAcentral describes it as "partial 16S ribosomal RNA". It matches the Rfam family "Bacterial small subunit ribosomal RNA", at positions 28 to 507 of the family's 1533-position model. The record is from RNAcentral.